CAAUCCUAAACGCCAACCGCCAUCUUCCUCAAAAUAGGUAUAACUUUUGUUUUUCCAAAUCUCACACAUCAUGUGGUACUAUUAUUCUCUUCCAUCUAUGGAAUCAGAUCUUGCUCAGACAGGUUUUAAGUUUAAGGUUGUUUUUGGUACCUAGGAUUACGAUGUUUAACUACUAGAUCUUAAAUCACCAACCAACCAAUAUCUU
Molecule: long non-coding RNA, 205 nt
Filed under: Trifolium pratense (red clover)
Lineage: Eukaryota; Viridiplantae; Streptophyta; Magnoliopsida; Fabales; Fabaceae
Description: long non-coding RNA (TPRA_LNC002009)
Source: RNAcentral